CUGGAUCUUGUGCGGCCCGGGGGCGCCGCCGUUGAGGAUGGGGGAGUCGAUCGGUUCGACCGCGACGAUCCGGA
RNAcentral lists this transfer RNA (74 nucleotides) under Mycetocola manganoxydans. RNAcentral's name for it is "tRNA-Leu". The record is from RNAcentral. Lineage: Bacteria; Bacillati; Actinomycetota; Actinomycetes; Micrococcales; Microbacteriaceae.